This 434-nucleotide ribosomal RNA is filed under the name Costasiella sp. 5 JEV-2014. Its description in RNAcentral is "partial 16S ribosomal RNA". It matches the Rfam family "Bacterial large subunit ribosomal RNA", at positions 1828 to 2596 of the family's 2925-position model. Lineage: Eukaryota; Metazoa; Mollusca; Gastropoda; Costasiellidae. The record is from RNAcentral.
AGCCUAGAGUUAUUAUUCUAGGUGAUACCUGCCCAGUGCGAAUUUUUGUAAACGGCCGCAGUACCUUGACUGUGCUAAGGUAGCAUAAUCAGUUGGCUUUUAAAUGAAGUCGGGAAUGAAUGGAUAAAUGUGGUUAAGCUGUCUCAACUUUACUUAUUUGAAUUUAUUUAAUAGGUGAAAAUACCUAUAGUAAGAAAAAAGACGAGAAGACCCUAGGAGUUUUUAUUAAAAGUAUAUCUUAUGCUAAAAUUUUUGUUGGGGCGACAUUAGAGCAUACUAACCUCUUAUAUUUAACAAGCCGAUUUAAUAUGGAAGAUUAAACUACCCUAGGGAUAACAGCGUAAUUCAUUAAUGAGUUUGCGACCUCGAUGUUGGACUAGGAAUUUUUUAGGCUAGCCGCCUAAAAUUAUUGUUCUGUUCGAACUAUUGUUCCU